Molecule: transfer RNA, 72 nt
Filed under: Pirellula sp. SH-Sr6A
Lineage: Bacteria; Pseudomonadati; Planctomycetota; Planctomycetia; Pirellulales; Pirellulaceae
Description: tRNA-OTHER
Source: RNAcentral
UCGCGGGUGGUGGUAAUUGGUAGCCACAAGGCUUAGCUAUCCUCGUGCGGGUUCGACUCCCGCCCCGCGAUC